This is a long non-coding RNA of Caretta caretta (loggerhead turtle), 1256 nucleotides long. RefSeq lists it as uncharacterized. The record is from RefSeq and is a predicted model, not a curated record. Lineage: Eukaryota; Metazoa; Chordata; Testudines; Cheloniidae.
GGUGCCACAAGUCCUCCUUUUCAUUUUGCGGAUACAACACAGCUGCUACUCUGAAUAUAAUCUCAGUGGAAGUUACUGUGGUGGCAAGUUGAAGACAGAAUGUCAGGCAACUUACAUUUCCUCAUUUUGUGAGUUACAUCAGACUGGGUUUUAUUUUAUGUGAUGCACUCAAUGCACUAAUCAAGUCAACAGCUGAAACCUUCAGGUAACUAAGAACCUCACUCUCACCAUUUUUUAUCUUCCUGUUACGUUACAAUUUAUGGGUUUCAGGUUUACCUCUCAACUUCAAUCUACCACAGGCAGCAGAAAAUGAAAAAGAAAAAAAAAUCUGGUAUAUUAGAAAUAAAAUACCCAGGAAAGUGGCUAUUAAAGGUUAGGUAUUUCAUCAUUUUGAAGGGCCUCCAUACAGUACCUCUGGUACCAUAUUCAUCUGCUUUCUCUCUUAAAAGUCAUCCUAUUUCCUACACAGCAAGAGCAGUGCCUACAAGUCUCAUGCUGGGCACGAACAGGGGAGUUGAAUAGCAUCACUAAUUACAAACAAUGGUCUCCGCGCAGUAACACCCAGGUGUGUUUUUUGGAGACGUUUCCAAGCUCCCUUGCUUGCAGAGGGUAGAAUCUCAACCUCCCGAAACGGUCACGGCUUCAGGUAGCCCUUCUAAGGCGCUGGGGCGGCACAGUCACCUCCUCCCGCCUCUCUUCUCCGCCCCAUUACCGCAGGGGCGACAGAGAGCGAAGCAAUGUGGUUUCUAAAGGGCGCUCCUAACAGGCAGAGCAGGUGACUGACAGAAAUCCCCAUGGAUGGAGAAACUACUGUACUUGGUGAGGAAAUAGCAGUGGCUUCUUCUCCCCAUCUUGAUUCAGAGAAUCUGGAGCUGGUCUUCAGCCACUCUCUAAAAAUGACUGGGAUUAGCGAAGAAUUGUGUGUCAGCAGCUUCCUGUCAGAGGAGCUGCCGUGUUGUGCUGAAGAAAGUCCUCACACCAGAGCGAAAACAUCGGGAGCAAUUGGAUGGAAACGGUGAUGACAUGAACCGCAACAGAAAGAAGAAAUUCAAUAUGAUGAACGUCAGUCGGGGUGCUGACUACCACGCAUUCCAGUUCCAUCAGUGCAAAGACCUAUUUAUAGUCUCUAACAGUGUCACUCAAAGUCAGACAUUAUAUCUGGGGGAAAAAUAUUCUCCAAAACUCUGUUUGCUUAAGCACUCUCUCUCUCUCUCUCUAUAUAUAUAUAUUAAAAAGUUCUGCUUUUUAUUAUUUCA